CAAUAGCGUAUAUUAAAGUUGUUGCGGUUAAAAAGCUCGUAGUUGGAUUUCUGCCGAGGACGUCCGGUCCGCCCUCUGGGUGAGUACAUGGCACGGCCUGGGCAUCUUCUUGGGGAACGUAUCUGCACUUGACUGUGUGGUGCGGUAUCCAGGACUUUUACUUUGAGGAAAUUAGAGUGUUUCAAGCAGGCACACGCCUUGAAUACAUUAGCAUGGAAUAAUAAGAUAGGACCUCGGUUCUAUUUUGUUGGUUUCUAGACCUGAAGUAAUGAUUGAUAGGGAUAGUUGGGGGUGCUAGUAUUGAGUGGCCAGAGGUGAAAUUCUUGGAUUCACUCAAGACUAACUUAUGCGAAAGCAUUCACCAAGGAUGUCUUCUUUAAUCAAGAACGAAAGUUGGGGGAUCGAAGAUGAUUAGAUACCGU
This 422-nucleotide ribosomal RNA is filed under the name uncultured eukaryote. RNAcentral describes it as "bacterial SSU rRNA". It matches the Rfam family "Eukaryotic small subunit ribosomal RNA", at positions 592 to 1018 of the family's 1831-position model. The record is from RNAcentral.